This 1103-nucleotide ribosomal RNA is filed under the name Bacillus aerius. Its description in RNAcentral is "bacterial SSU rRNA". It matches the Rfam family "Bacterial small subunit ribosomal RNA", at positions 47 to 1137 of the family's 1533-position model. The record is from RNAcentral. Lineage: Bacteria; Bacillati; Bacillota; Bacilli; Caryophanales; Bacillaceae.
AGCUAUACUGCAAGUCGAGCGGACAGAAGGGAGCUUGCUCCCGGAUGUUAGCGGCGGACGGGUGAGUAACACGUGGGUAACCUGCCUGUAAGACUGGGAUAACUCCGGGAAACCGGAGCUAAUACCGGAUAGUUCCUUGAACCGCAUGGUUCAAGGAUGAAAGACGGUUUCGGCUGUCACUUACAGAUGGACCCGCGGCGCAUUAGCUAGUUGGUGAGGUAACGGCUCACCAAGGCGACGAUGCGUAGCCGACCUGAGAGGGUGAUCGGCCACACUGGGACUGAGACACGGCCCAGACUCCUACGGGAGGCAGCAGUAGGGAAUCUUCCGCAAUGGACGAAAGUCUGACGGAGCAACGCCGCGUGAGUGAUGAAGGUUUUCGGAUCGUAAAGCUCUGUUGUUAGGGAAGAACAAGUGCAAGAGUAACUGCUUGCACCUUGACGGUACCUAACCAGAAAGCCACGGCUAACUACGUGCCAGCAGCCGCGGUAAUACGUAGGUGGCAAGCGUUGUCCGGAAUUAUUGGGCGUAAAGGGCUCGCAGGCGGUUUCUUAAGUCUGAUGUGAAAGCCCCCGGCUCAACCGGGGAGGGUCAUUGGAAACUGGGAAACUUGAGUGCAGAAGAGGAGAGUGGAAUUCCACGUGUAGCGGUGAAAUGCGUAGAGAUGUGGAGGAACACCAGUGGCGAAGGCGACUCUCUGGUCUGUAACUGACGCUGAGGAGCGAAAGCGUGGGGAGCGAACAGGAUUAGAUACCCUGGUAGUCCACGCCGUAAACGAUGAGUGCUAAGUGUUAGGGGGUUUCCGCCCCUUAGUGCUGCAGCUAACGCAUUAAGCACUCCGCCUGGGGAGUACGGUCGCAAGACUGAAACUCAAAGGAAUUGACGGGGGCCCGCACAAGCGGUGGAGCAUGUGGUUUAAUUCGAAGCAACGCGAAGAACCUUACCAGGUCUUGACAUCCUCUGACAACCCUAGAGAUAGGGCUUUCCCUUCGGGGACAGAGUGACAGGUGGUGCAUGGUUGUCGUCAGCUCGUGUCGUGAGAUGUUGGGUUAAGUCCCGCAACGAGCGCACCCUUGAUCUUAUUUGCCACCAUCCAUUGGGCC